CCUACGGGAGGCAGCAGUGAGGAAUAUUGGUCAAUGGGCGGAAGCCUGAACCAGCCAAGUCGCGUGAGGGAUUAAGGCCCUGCGGGUCGUAAACCUCUUUUGCCGGGGAGCAGAGGUCCGGACGUGUCCGGGCCGGGAGAGUACCCGGAUAACAAGCAUCGGCUAACUCCGUGCCAGCAGCCGCGGUAAUACGGAGGAGGCGAGCGUUAUCCGGAUUUAUUGGGUUUAAAGGGUGCGUAGGCGGGCAUUUAAGCCGGCGGUCAAAUGUCGGGGCUCAACCCCGGCCUGCCGUCGGAACUGGGUGCCUUGAGUGGGCGAGAAGUAGGCGGAAUGCGUGGUGUAGCGGUGAAAUGCAUAGAUAUCACGCAGAACCCCGAUUGCGAAGGCAGCAUACCGGCGCCCUACUGACGCUGAGGCACGAAAGUGCGGGUAUCGAACAGGAUUAGAUACCCUAGUAGUC
Molecule: ribosomal RNA, 460 nt
Filed under: uncultured bacterium
Lineage: Bacteria
Description: partial 16S ribosomal RNA
Rfam family: Bacterial small subunit ribosomal RNA
Source: RNAcentral